GACGAACGCUGGCGGCGUGCUUAACACAUGCAAGUCGAACGGAAAGGCCCUGCUUGCAGGGUGCUCGAGUGGCGAACGGGUGAGUAACACGUGGGUGAUCUGCCCCUUACUUUGGGAUAAGCCUGGGAAACUGGGUCUAAUACUGGAUAGGACCAUGCUGUAGGUGGUGUGGUGGAAAGAUUAGUUUCGGUAAGGGAUGAGCUCGCGGCCUAUCAGCUUGUUGGUGGGGUAAUGGCCUACCAAGGCGUCGACGGGUAGCCGGCCUGAGAGGGUGGACGGCCACAUUGGGACUGAGAUACGGCCCAGACUCCUACGGGAGGCAGCAGUGGGGAAUAUUGCACAAUGGGCGCAAGCCUGAUGCAGCGACGCCGCGUGGGGGAUGAAGGCCUUCGGGUUGUAAACUCCUUUCAGCCAUGACGAAGCCCUUGUGGUGACGGUAGUGGUAGAAGAAGCACCGGCUAACUACGU
Molecule: ribosomal RNA, 468 nt
Filed under: uncultured bacterium
Lineage: Bacteria
Description: partial 16S ribosomal RNA
Rfam family: Bacterial small subunit ribosomal RNA
Source: RNAcentral